GCAGUCGAGCGGACUGAUGGGAGCUUGCUCCCUGAUGUUAGCGGCGGACGGGUGAGUAACACGUGGGCAACCUGCCUGUAAGACUGGGAUAACUCCGGGAAACCGGGGCUAAUACCGGAUAACCCGUUCCACCUCAUGGUGGAGCGGUAAAAGAUGGCCUCUGGCUAUCACUUACAGAUGGGCCCGCGGCGCAUUAGCUAGUUGGUAAGGUAACGGCUUACCAAGGCGACGAUGCGUAGCCGACCUGAGAGGGUGAUCGGCCACACUGGGACUGAGACACGGCCCAGACUCCUACGGGAGGCAGCAGUAGGGAAUCUUCCGCAAUGGACGAAAGUCUGACGGAGCAACGCCGCGUGAGUGAUGAAGGUUUUCGGAUCGUAAAGCUCUGUUGUUAGGGAAGAACAAGUGCCGUUUGAAUAAGGCGGCACCUUGACGGUACCUAACCAGAAAGCCACGGCUAACUACGUGCCAGCAGCCGCGGUAAUACGUAGGUGGCAAGCGUUGUCCGGAAUUAUUGGGCGUAAAGCGCGCGCAGGCGGUCUCUUAAGUCUGAUGUGAAAGCCCACGGCUCAACCGUGGAGGGUCAUUGGAAACUGGGAGACUUGAGUACAGAAGAGGAGAGUGGAAUUCCACGUGUAGCGGUGAAAUGCGUAGAUAUGUGGAGGAACACCAGUGGCGAAGGCGACUCUCUGGUCUGUAACUGA
This 704-nucleotide ribosomal RNA is filed under the name bacterium SL5.43. RNAcentral describes it as "bacterial SSU rRNA". It matches the Rfam family "Bacterial small subunit ribosomal RNA", at positions 57 to 743 of the family's 1533-position model. The record is from RNAcentral.